Molecule: ribosomal RNA, 1419 nt
Filed under: metagenome
Description: bacterial SSU rRNA
Rfam family: Bacterial small subunit ribosomal RNA
Source: RNAcentral
UCCUGGUGGCGAGUGGCGAACGGGUGAGUAAUGUAUCGGAACGUACCUUUCAGUGGGGGAUAACGUAGCGAAAGUUACGCUAAUACCGCAUAUUCUGUGAGCAGGAAAGCAGGGGAUCGCAAGACCUUGCGCUGAUUGAGCGGCCGAUAUCAGAUUAGCUAGUUGGUGAGGUAAAGGCUCACCAAGGCGACGAUCUGUAGCGGGUCUGAGAGGAUGAUCCGCCACACUGGAACUGAGACACGGUCCAGACUCCUACGGGAGGCAGCAGUGGGGAAUUUUGGACAAUGGGGGCAACCCUGAUCCAGCCAUGCCGCGUGAGUGAAGAAGGCCUUCGGGUUGUAAAGCUCUUUCAGCCGGGAAGAAAUCACAUGGGUUAAUACCCUGUGUGGAUGACGGUACCGGAAUAAGAAGCACCGGCUAACUACGUGCCAGCAGCCGCGGAAAUACGUAGGGUGCGAGCGUUAAUCGGAAUUACUGGGCGUAAAGCGUGCGCAGGCGGUUUGUUAAGAUAGGCGUGAAAUCCCCGGGCUCAACCUGGGAACUGCGUUUAUGACUGGCAGGCUAGAGUAUGGCAGAGGGGGGUGGAAUUCCACGUGUAGCAGUGAAAUGCGUAGAGAUGUGGAGGAACACCGAUGGCGAAGGCAGCCCCUGGGCCAAUACUGACGCUCAUGCACGAAAGCGUGGGUAGCAAACAGGAUUAGAUACCCUGGUAGUCCACGCCCUAAACGAUGUCAACUAGGUGUUGGGUGGGUAAAACCAUUUAGUACCGGAGCUAACGCGUGAAGUUGACCGCCUGGGGAGUACGGCCGCAAGGUUAGAACUCAAAGGAAUUGACGGGGACCCGCACAAGCGGUGGAUGAUGUGGAUUAACUCGAUGCAACGCGAAAAACCUUACCUACCCUUGACAUGUCCGGAAGCCCUUAGAGAUUUGGGUGUGCUCGAAAGAGAGCCGGAACACAGGUGCUGCAUGGCUGUCGUCAGCUCGUGUCAUGAGAUGUUGGGUUAAGUCCCGCAACGAGUGCAACCCUUGUCGUUAAUUGCCAUCAUUUAGUUGGGCACUUUAACGAGACUGCCGGUGACAAACCGGAGGAAGGUGGGGAUGACGUCAAGUCCUCAUGGCCCUUAUGGGUAGGGCUUCACACGUCAUACAAUGGUCGGUACAAAGGGUUGCCAACCCGCGAGGGGGAGCUAAUCCCAGAAAGCCGAUCGUAGUCCGGAUUGUAGGCUGCAACUCGCCUGCAUGAAGUCGGAAUCGCUAGUAAUCGUGGAUCAGCAUGUCACGGUGAAUACGUUCCCGGGUCUUGUACACACCGCCCGUCACACCAUGGGAGCGGGUCCCGCCAGAAGUAGGUAGCCUAACCGCAAGGAGGGCGCUUACCACGGCGGGGUUCGUGACUGGGGUGAAGUCGUAACAAGGUA